RNAcentral lists this long non-coding RNA (3524 nucleotides) under Arachis ipaensis. Its description in RNAcentral is "long non-coding RNA (AIPA_LNC001535)". The record is from RNAcentral. Lineage: Eukaryota; Viridiplantae; Streptophyta; Magnoliopsida; Fabales; Fabaceae.
AACAAGUGUGACCUCCCUUAAACCCUUUGCAUAGUAGCUUAAUUCCCAUCCUUUCUCCACCUAAUCUCCACUUAAACUCCUUAUCAUUAGCUCACUUAGUUAUAAAGCAAUCAAAACAAAGAAGAGAGUGUUAAGAGAAGGAGUAUAACCGAGACAUACAAGAGAGAGUGAAAGUCAAGUUCUUGAAUUAACACAUGCCUCCUUCCUCUCUUCCUCAAGACUUUGGUUUUCCUUCCCAUUAGACACACUAAUUUCAUAAGCUAUCUCAUGUCAAGAACAGCAUAACAAAGAGGAGAAAGAUUAGAAAGAGUGACCGAAGAGAGUGAGUAAGAAAGAGCACAAUACCUUCAUCAUUCCUUCAAGCUUCACAUCCUCAUCUUCUUAGGGGUUAAAGUAGCUGAGUUCUUCUCUUCAUAUUCAUCACAAACCAGCAUCCUAAUCCAUCCUAUCUUCCAAGAUCAUCCAUCCAGCCGAGAGUCCAAGCUCAAGGAGGGAUAUCUUAGCUGAAAGAAAGAGCUAAGGGAAGGAUUUCAAGGAAAGCUUGUAACACGGGUAAAGGUUAGGAACAUUAGGUGCUUGGUUGUUGUGUUUAAUGAUGAUGCAUGACUGACUUUGAUGAUGAAUUAUGUAUGUGAAAUGAUAAAUGAUUGAUAGUGGUGCUGUGUAUAUGAUUCUAUUUUGAGAAAAUGUGAAUUGCUAUAUUGCUGUUUUUGAGUUUAAGUGAUAAACUCUCUGGGUGAAAAAAGUGAUUUAAUGAGAUAGUAAUUAUCUUGGAUCUUGGGGCUUAUAAACAAGUUUAUAUACACAAUAUACACGUGUUAGAGUGAUUAAUUAGAUAAAAUAAGGGCUAGAAGCUUAAAGUGAAUCUCAAAGUGAGUUAGGAGACUGGGGCAGAUUCUGCAGAAUCAGUGGCAGCAAGAGCAGUAACUUCUCGAGGUUGCUGCUCUCUCUCUAGACCUCCAAAAUUCGUGAAACUAAAUUUCAAUAAAACUUUGAUAUGUCUAUUUCUUUUCAACCAAAUUUAAUAAUUUCGUUAUUUGUCGAUUGAAAGUUAUAAAGGUUUAGAUUUUGUCCCUCAAAGCUAUCAAACCAGAUUUUUAAUUUUAAAAUAUAAACUUCCAAUCUGCAUAACGUUAAUUCUAAAAUGCUUUUGAGUUACUUUCAAAGUCUAAUAGAAGCUAGAUAUGUCUAGAGUGAUGGAUUGAAUUUUUAGAGUCAUAUAGUUUGUAGAUCAAAAGUUAUGAGGUUUGCAAACUGAUGAGCUCUCUGACUUGGCUAUACAAAAUUCUGCAGAACGUGUGUCAAAGCCAGCAACUUGUUCAAUUUACUGGUAUUGAUCCAGAAGUCAAAUUGGUGUACAACCAAUUGGGGGUAAAACUUUAGGGUGUCUAGUUUGUUCCAUCAAAAGCGCAUAAUUUUUAGAAUUAUACAUUGGGAGUUAUGGAUUUUACAAAAUUGCUGCUCACUGUUGGCUAAACAGAAUUUCUAAAUUUAGAGCAGUGAAUUCCUAGAUGCAUAACUUCCAACCCAGAAGGACUUUUGAGGUGAGAUCAAAACCAAACGAAGGAUUAGCUUGUCUAGUUAAUCAAAUCUAAAUUUCAGAUCCAUAGACGUAUUAGAGAAUUAGUUAUGCACUCUGGAAGUUAACCGGGUCACUGGUUAACCAAACAGAAACUUUUAAAAACAGAAUCUGCAUUACUUUUCCUCCUGAAAUGGGAUUGCUCUGAAACUUGAACCAAAUGAAACUUAGGAGAGUCUAGUAUAAUUAUAACAAAUUUGAGAGAUUUUAGAUUAGAAACAGAUUUUUCAUGAUUUUCCAAAGUCUACUGCUAUUUGCUGUUUUUCCAGAAGUUACCGAAAAGGGCAGUCGAACUUUGAAAAUUUAUAAAAAAAUUAAAUUCUUAAUACGAAAAGGGUUGCGUGAUGAACUCUCUGUUUCACGAUGAAGAGGGUUGGAGGGGUUGGGUGCACAGUGAAGAAGGUUGGAAGUGCAACGAAGAGGGUUGGGAAAAUAAAGCUCUGUGUUAGGGUUUUGUCAGUAGUUAGUUUAGUGAAUAGAGAAGAGUGAAUAAUAGUGAAGUAUUUUUCUCAGUAGUUUUACAUAACUCUAUUGGCAUACUUUAAAACAUCAUCGUAAUGUAAUUCUAUUGGCAUGCUUUAAAAGCGUGCCUGUUGUUCUCUAUGGCUACGUUUAAUAAGCGUGAUAUCAAAAGUAGUGUCUAAUUUUUAAUUAAUCACCACCUUUAUAAAAGUGUGGCCAUUGACCUCUUUAGACCAUCCUUUUGAAAUGUGACAAGAAAAAACGUAGUCAAAUCUCUAACUUAUUGAUUUUAUACUAACAUGAUUGAACUUAGUUAACUUGGAUGUAUAACAUUAUUCGGUUUUUAAUUAACCAAUAUGAGUAGAAAUUUUACAUCCUUAUAUUACCCCCCGUAAGAAAACCGAGUGCCAAUAGAAUUACGUUACAGUGAUGUUUUAAAAUUCGGUCAUAACGUUUUUUAUUGAAGCGUGGCUUAAAAAUAUCAAUGGGCACGCUUUUGAAAUGUGACUUUUUUCAUUACUUUUAAAAAACGUACCCAUUUCCUACAUGUUCAGAAACUCUAAUUACCCUUUACCGUCACCCCCUCUCCUCUCAGGCUCUCACUCUUCUCAUCUCUUCACUCAACUCAUUCAACCAUAACACAACCCUAACAACGCCACUCACUGUCUCCCUCUCUCAACCCGUCGCAUCCCCUCCCUCCAACCCGUCGCAGCACCUCCAUCCAAUCCUCCCUCAUCGGUCAUCCCUUGUGCCGCCGUCUCCCUCUCCAUCAGUCAUCGCGUUGCCAUCUCCCUCUCUAAAGUCGUAGCGCCUCUGUUUCCCUCUCUCAACUCUGUGUUCUUGGUCGCCAGUCUUUGCCUCUUUCGCGUGUCUCGCCAUCCUCUGCGUGUGGCUGUGCUGAAGCUCCAAACUCCGAAGCUUUUGCCUCUACUUUAUUAGGUUUGUUUAUCUUCCUCCAUUAGUAUUUCCAGUUUUAGAUACAUUGAUGCUAAUUGGUUUAGAUAAAUUGAUAAUGAUGAAUUUAGAUGACUGUUGGUGAUUCUUGCUUAUUAGAUAAAUUGAUAAAUUGUGAUUGUAGUGCUCAGACUCAGUCCCUCUCCUUUCUCCUCCUUAGUCCUACAGUCGUCGCAGCCCCAACUGCCUUGACUCCAGGGACGGACCGAGGCUUACACUGUGUUUGGAUCAAUAGAAACGAGAAGGAAAGAAAAUGCACGGAAGGAAAAUUGAUGGAAAAUGAAGUUUUCCUCUGAUUGGAUGAGCAUAGAAAAUGGAUGGAAAAGGAAAACAAUGGUGUGGAGCCCACAUUGAAGUUUUCUUUCCACACCUGCAAAGAAAACCACCGAAGUUCUAAAAUAAAGAUAAAAUUACUAAUAUGCCCAUUAUUAAAAUGCAAAGCAAAAUUUAUAACAUUUAAUUGAAAAUAAAAAGGGAUCAAUUUAAAAAAAAUAUUAUUGUUAACAAUGAUAAUACAUUAAAAUUUUAA